RNAcentral lists this ribosomal RNA (337 nucleotides) under uncultured Oscillospiraceae bacterium. RNAcentral's name for it is "partial 16S ribosomal RNA". The record is from RNAcentral. Lineage: Bacteria; Bacillati; Bacillota; Clostridia; Eubacteriales; Oscillospiraceae.
GGAGUCUGGGCCGUGUCUCAGUCCCAAUGUGGCCUUUCAACCUCUCAGUCCGGCUACUGAUCGUCGACUUGGUGGGCCGUUACCCCGCCAACUAUCUAAUCAGACGCGAGUCCAUCUUUCAGCGGAUUGCUCCUUUGAUAUAUCUGCCAUGCGACAAAUAUAUGUUAUGCGGUAUUAGCGUUCGUUUCCAAACGUUAUCCCCCUCUGAAAGGCAGGUUACUCACGCGUUACUCACCCGUCCGCCACUAACUUUCAUCGCCGAAGCGAAUCAGUCCGUUCGACUUGCAUGUGUUAGGCACGCCGCCAGCGUCGUCCUCGAGCCACUGAUCAAACUACU